RNAcentral lists this ribosomal RNA (679 nucleotides) under Staphylococcus aureus. RNAcentral describes it as "bacterial SSU rRNA". It matches the Rfam family "Bacterial small subunit ribosomal RNA", at positions 189 to 855 of the family's 1533-position model. Lineage: Bacteria; Bacillati; Bacillota; Bacilli; Caryophanales; Staphylococcaceae. The record is from RNAcentral.
AUGGUUCAAAAGUGAAAGACGGUCUUGCUGUCACUUAUAGAUGGAUCCGCGCUGCAUUAGCUAGUUGGUAAGGUAACGGCUUACCAAGGCAACGAUGCAUAGCCGACCUGAGAGGGUGAUCGGCCACACUGGAACUGAGACACGGUCCAGACUCCUACGGGAGGCAGCAGUAGGGAAUCUUCCGCAAUGGGCGAAAGCCUGACGGAGCAACGCCGCGUGAGUGAUGAAGGUCUUCGGAUCGUAAAACUCUGUUAUUAGGGAAGAACAUAUGUGUAAGUAACUGUGCACAUCUUGACGGUACCUAAUCAGAAAGCCACGGCUAACUACGUGCCAGCAGCCGCGGUAAUACGUAGGUGGCAAGCGUUAUCCGGAAUUAUUGGGCGUAAAGCGCGCGUAGGCGGUUUUUUAAGUCUGAUGUGAAAGCCCACGGCUCAACCGUGGAGGGUCAUUGGAAACUGGAAAACUUGAGUGCAGAAGAGGAAAGUGGAAUUCCAUGUGUAGCGGUGAAAUGCGCAGAGAUAUGGAGGAACACCAGUGGCGAAGGCGACUUUCUGGUCUGUAACUGACGCUGAUGUGCGAAAGCGUGGGGAUCAAACAGGAUUAGAUACCCUGGUAGUCCACGCCGUAAACGAUGAGUGCUAAGUGUUAGGGGGUUUCCGCCCCUUAGUGCUGCAGCUAA